RNAcentral lists this transfer RNA (61 nucleotides) under Rhagophthalmus giganteus. Its description in RNAcentral is "tRNA-Cys". The record is from RNAcentral. Lineage: Eukaryota; Metazoa; Arthropoda; Insecta; Coleoptera; Rhagophthalmidae.
GGUUUAAUAUUCAAAUAUGAUUUUAAAUUGCAAAUUUGAAGGUGAUGUAUAUCUUAAACCU